GACGAACGCUGGCGGCGUGCCUAACACAUGCAAGUCGAACGAAGUGGCGAACGGGUGAGUAACGCUUAAUCAACCUGCCCUUCAGAGGGGGACAACAGUUGGACACGACUGCUAUGACCGCAUACUGAAGGAGGGGAUUGCGUGUGAUUAGCUGUUUGGAGGGGUAAUGGCCCACCAAGGCGAUGUCCAGUAGCCGGACUGGGAGGUGGACAGGCCACAUUGGGACUGGGACACGGCCCAGACUCCUACGGGAGGCAGCAGUGGGGAAUCUUCCGCAAUGGGGGGAAGUCUGACCGAGCAACGCCGCGUGAGUGAAGAAGGCCUUCGGGUUGUAAAGCUCUGUUAGUCAGGACGCGGUACCGGAAUAGAAAGCCACGGCUAACUACGUGCCAGCAGCCGCGGUAAUAC
This 408-nucleotide ribosomal RNA is filed under the name uncultured bacterium. RNAcentral's name for it is "partial 16S ribosomal RNA". It matches the Rfam family "Bacterial small subunit ribosomal RNA", at positions 28 to 526 of the family's 1533-position model. The record is from RNAcentral.